This 265-nucleotide ribosomal RNA is filed under the name Pseudosphaeroma sp. SMB-2011. RNAcentral's name for it is "partial 28S ribosomal RNA". It matches the Rfam family "Eukaryotic large subunit ribosomal RNA", at positions 271 to 540 of the family's 3401-position model. Lineage: Eukaryota; Metazoa; Arthropoda; Malacostraca; Isopoda; Sphaeromatidae. The record is from RNAcentral.
ACACUGAGACAUGGUUCUACACAGGUGGUAAACUCCAUCUAAGGCUAAAUAUAACCACGAGACCGAUAGAGAACAAGUACCGCGAGGGAAAGUUGAAAAGAACUCUGAAAAGAGAGUUAAACCAGAGCGUGAAACUACCACGAGGUGAAAACUGAUAGACCUUCGUGGUCGAAAACUUCCCGAGUACAGUUUCCCUUCGCUCUCUCCUACCGCUCGCGGCCCGUCGUUACUUUUUUUUCGCCAUCAUACGGAAAACGUCCUUCCC